RNAcentral lists this ribosomal RNA (433 nucleotides) under uncultured bacterium. Its description in RNAcentral is "partial 16S ribosomal RNA". It matches the Rfam family "Bacterial small subunit ribosomal RNA", at positions 29 to 507 of the family's 1533-position model. The record is from RNAcentral.
AACGAACGCUGGCGGCAUGCUUAACACAUGCAAGUCGAACGGGACGUUCGGGCCUAGUUGCGCUGGUGGGGGUAACACGUGGGAAGUUGCCCGUAGGUUCGGUAUAAUUCCCUGAGAGGUGAGCUAAUGCCGGUUAAUGUCAUCGGGGAUAAGAUUUCUUGCUUUGGGAUGGGCGCGGGUUGGUUUAGCUGGUUGGUAGGGUAAUAGCCUAUCAACGCGACGUUGCAUAGCUGGUCUGAGAGGAUGCUCAGCCACACUGGAAAUGAGACACGGCCUAGACUCGUACGCAAGGGAGCAGUGGAGAAUACUAGAGAAUGAGCGAAAGCCUGAUCCAGCAAUGCCGCGGAAGUGAUGAAGGCCGUAGGGAUGUAAAUCUGUUUUAGACGGGACGAUAGUGACAGUACCGGGAGAAUAAGCACCGGCUAACUACGUG